GCCCGGGUGGUGGAAUAGGUAGACACGCAGGACUUAAAAUCCUGUGAACAGUAAUGUUCGUGCGGGUUCGAUUCCCGCCCCGGGUA
RNAcentral lists this transfer RNA (86 nucleotides) under Prevotellaceae bacterium. Its description in RNAcentral is "tRNA-Leu". It matches the Rfam family "tRNA". Rfam says of the family: Transfer RNA (tRNA) molecules are approximately 80 nucleotides in length. Their secondary structure includes four short double-helical elements and three loops (D, anti-codon, and T loops). The record is from RNAcentral. Lineage: Bacteria; Pseudomonadati; Bacteroidota; Bacteroidia; Bacteroidales; Prevotellaceae.